Molecule: ribosomal RNA, 250 nt
Filed under: uncultured bacterium
Lineage: Bacteria
Description: partial 16S ribosomal RNA
Rfam family: Bacterial small subunit ribosomal RNA
Source: RNAcentral
UACGAAGGGGGCUAGCGUUGCUCGGAAUUACUGGGCGUAAAGGGAGCGUAGGCGGAUAGUUUAGUCAGAGGUGAAAGCCCAGGGCUCAACCCUGGAAUUGCCUUUGAUACUGGCUAUCUUGAGUGUGGGAGAGGUUAGCGGAACUCCGAGUGUAGAGGUGAAAUUCGUAGAUAUUCGGAAGAACACCAGUGGCGAAGGCGGCUAACUGGCCCAUUACUGACGCUGAGGCUCGAAAGCGUGGGGGAGCAAA